AGAGUUUGAUCAUGGCUCAGAACGAACGCUGGCGGCGUGGAUUAGGCAUGCAAGUCGAACGCAUCAUUUAGCUUUUUCGAAUGAUGAGUGGCGAAAGGGUGAGUAACGCGUGGGCAACCUGCCCUAAGGUGGGGGAUAACCUGUCGAAAGACGGGCUAAUACCGCUUAUGUUUCCAGGCUGAGAUGCUUGGAUGCAAAGAUGGGGAUUUCUUCGGAAACCUGUCGCCUUUGGAUGGGCCCGCGUCCUAUCAGCUAGUUGGUGAGGUAAUGGCUCACCAAGGCUAAGACGGGUAGCUGGUCUGAGAGGAUGGUCAGCCACACUGGGACUGAGACACUGCCCAGACACCUACGGGUGGCUGCAGUCGAGAAUCUUCCGCAAUGGGGGCAACCCUGACGGAGCGACGCCGCGUGCAGGAUGAAGGUCUUCGGAUUGUAAACUGCUGUCAGCAGGGAAGAACAGGUGCUCGGCUAAUAACCAGGCAUUUUGACGGUACCUGCAGAGGAAGCCACGGCUAACUUCGUGCCAGCAGCCGCGGUAAUACGAAGGUGGCUAGCGUUGUUCGGAUUUAUUGGGCGUAAAGGGUCCGCAGGCGGUUUGAUAAGUCAGGUGUGAAAUCCAACAGCUUAACUGUUGACACGCAUUUGAUACUGUUAGACUAGAGUAUGAGAGGGGUGAGAGGAAUUUCCAGUGUAGGGGUGAAAUCCGUAGAUAUUGGAAAGAACACCGGCCGCGAAGGCGUUUCACUGGCUCAUUACUGACGCUCAGGGACGAAAGCUAGGGGAGCAAACGGGAUUAGAUACCCUAGUAGUCC
This 812-nucleotide ribosomal RNA is filed under the name uncultured bacterium. RNAcentral's name for it is "bacterial SSU rRNA". It matches the Rfam family "Bacterial small subunit ribosomal RNA", at positions 8 to 796 of the family's 1533-position model. The record is from RNAcentral.